AGAUUGAACGCUGGCGGCAGGCCUAACACAUGCAAGUCGAGCGGUAGAGAGGUGCUUGCACCUCUUGAGAGCGGCGGACGGGUGAGUAAAGCCUAGGAAUCUGCCUGGUAGUGGGGGAUAACGCUCGGAAACGGACGCUAAUACCGCAUACGUCCUACGGGAGAAAGCAGGGGACCUUCGGGCCUUGCGCUAUCAGAUGAGCCUAGGUCGGAUUAGCUAGUUGGUGAGGUAAUGGCUCACCAAGGCGACGAUCCGUAACUGGUCUGAGAGGAUGAUCAGUCACACUGGAACUGAGACACGGUCCAGACUCCUACGGGAGGCAGCAGUGGGAAUAUUGGACAAUGGGCGAAAGCCUGAUCCAGCCAUGCCGCGUGUGUGAAGAAGGUCUUCGGAUUGUAAAGCACUUUAGUGGAGAAGGCAUUAACCUAAUACGUUAGUGUUUGACGUUACGACAGAAUAGCACCGACUAAUCUGUG
This 476-nucleotide ribosomal RNA is filed under the name uncultured soil bacterium. RNAcentral describes it as "bacterial SSU rRNA". It matches the Rfam family "Bacterial small subunit ribosomal RNA", at positions 26 to 507 of the family's 1533-position model. The record is from RNAcentral.